GGCUGAGUGGUCUAGUGGUAUGAUUCUCGCUUUGGGUGCGAGAGGUCCCGGUUCGAUCACCGGUUCAGCCC
This is a non-coding RNA of Ascaris suum (pig roundworm), 71 nucleotides long. NCBI's taxonomy places the organism in Eukaryota, Metazoa, Nematoda, Chromadorea, Rhabditida, Ascarididae. The record is from Rfam.